GUGGGGAAUUUUGGACAAUGGGGGCAACCCUGAUCCAGCCAUGCCGCGUGCGGGAAGAAGGCCUUCGGGUUGUAAACCGCUUUUAGCUGGGAAGAAAAGACUCGGGCUAACACUCCGGGUUCUUGACGGUACCGGCGGAAUAAGCACCGGCUAACUACGUGCCAGCAGCCGCGGUAAUACGUAGGGUGCGAGCGUUAAUCGGAAUUACUGGGCGUAAAGCGUGCGCAGGCGGUUCGUUAAGUUUGUCGUGAAAGCCCCGGGCUCAACCUGGGAAUGGCGAUGAAAACUGGCGAGCUGGAGUGUGGCAGAGGGGGGUGGAAUUCCAGGUGUAGCAGUGAAAUGCGUAGAGAUCUGGAGGAACACCGAUGGCGAAGGCAGCCCCCUGGGCUGACACUGACGCUCAGGCACGAAAGCGUGGGGAGCAAACAGGAUUAGAAACCCCAGUAGUCC
RNAcentral lists this ribosomal RNA (450 nucleotides) under uncultured bacterium. RNAcentral's name for it is "bacterial SSU rRNA". It matches the Rfam family "Bacterial small subunit ribosomal RNA", at positions 354 to 796 of the family's 1533-position model. The record is from RNAcentral.